This 77-nucleotide transfer RNA is filed under the name Pseudomonadota bacterium. Its description in RNAcentral is "tRNA-Arg". It matches the Rfam family "tRNA". Rfam says of the family: Transfer RNA (tRNA) molecules are approximately 80 nucleotides in length. The record is from RNAcentral. Lineage: Bacteria; Pseudomonadati; Pseudomonadota. RNAcentral also lists the same sequence under 1 other name.
GCGCCCGUAGCUCAACCGGAUAGAGCACCGGCCUUCUAAGCCGGUGGUUGCAGGUUCGAUUCCUGCCGGGCGCACCA